RNAcentral lists this unclassified non-coding RNA (263 nucleotides) under plant metagenome. Its description in RNAcentral is "partial contains small subunit ribosomal RNA, internal transcribed spacer 1, and 5.8S ribosomal RNA". The record is from RNAcentral.
UUUCCGUAGGUGAACCUGCGGAAGGAUCAUUAUUGUAUAACCGAGGUGCGAGGGCCGUCGCUGACCCGAAAGGUCGUGCACGCCCGAGUGCCCUCACACGCAUCCAUCUCACCCCUAUGUGCACCACCGCGUGGGUCCCCCUUUGGCUUGUUCGGAGGGGGGCUUACGUUUUCACACAAACUUUGUAUGCAGUGUAGAAUGUAUUUUUUGUUUUUGCGAUCACGCAAUCAAUACAACUUUCAACAACGGAUCUCUUGGCUCUC